GUAUCCUACGGGAGGCAGCAGCCGCGGUAAAACGUAGGGGGCGAGCGUUGUCCGGAAUGACUGGGCGUAAAGGGUGCGUAGGCGGCAUAAUAAGUUAGAAGUGAAAUACCCAGAGCUUAACUCGGGUGCUGCUUCUAAGACUGUUGAGCUUGAGUGCGGGAGAGGUUAAUGGAAUUCCUAGUGUAGCGGUGGAAUGCGUAGAUAUUAGGAGGAACACCAGAGGCGAAGGCGAUUAACUGGACCGUAACUGACGCUGAGGCACGAAAGUGUGGGUAGCAAACAGGAUUAGAAACCCGAGUAGUCCU
Molecule: ribosomal RNA, 305 nt
Filed under: uncultured bacterium
Lineage: Bacteria
Description: bacterial SSU rRNA
Rfam family: Bacterial small subunit ribosomal RNA
Source: RNAcentral